GAUGAACGCUGGCGGCGUGCCUAAUACAUGCAAGUCGAGCGAACAGACGAGGAGCUUGCUCCUCUGACGUUAGCGGCGGACGGGUGAGUAACACGUGGAUAACCUACCUAUAAGACUGGGAUAACUUCGGGAAACCGGAGCUAAUACCGGAUAACAUGUUGAACCGCAUGGUUCAACAGUGAAAGACGGUCUUGCUGUCACUUAUAGAUGGAUCCGCGCCGCAUUAGCUAGUUGGUAAGGUAACGGCUUACCAAGGCAACGAUGCGUAGCCGACCUGAGAGGGGGAUCGGCCACACUGGAACUGAGACACGGUCCAGACUCCUACGGGAGGCAGCAGUAGGGAAUCUUCCGCAAUGGGAGAAAGCCUGACGGAGCAACGCCGCGUGAGUGAAGAAGGUCUUCGGAUCGUAAAACUCUGUUAUUAGGGAAGAACAAAUGUGUAAGUAACUAUGCACGUCUUGACGGUACCUAAUCAGAAAGCCACGGCUAACUACGUG
Molecule: ribosomal RNA, 497 nt
Filed under: uncultured bacterium
Lineage: Bacteria
Description: partial 16S ribosomal RNA
Rfam family: Bacterial small subunit ribosomal RNA
Source: RNAcentral